GCAGGGGUAGCCAAGCUAGGUCAACGGCGACAGACUCAAGAUCUGUUCCUGUAGAGGUUCGAGAGUUCAAAUCUCUUCCCCUGCA
RNAcentral lists this transfer RNA (85 nucleotides) under Thermoplasmatales archaeon. RNAcentral describes it as "tRNA-Leu". It matches the Rfam family "tRNA". Rfam says of the family: Transfer RNA (tRNA) molecules are approximately 80 nucleotides in length. Their secondary structure includes four short double-helical elements and three loops (D, anti-codon, and T loops). The record is from RNAcentral. Lineage: Archaea; Methanobacteriati; Thermoplasmatota; Thermoplasmata; Thermoplasmatales.